AGAGUUUGAUCAUGGCUCAGAACGAACGCUGGCGGCGUGGAUAAGACAUGCAAGUCGGACGGGACUUUUCGUUGUAGCAAUACAGUGGAAAGUUCAGUGGCGAACGGGUGCGUAACACGUGGGCAAUUUGCCUUAAAGUGUGGGAUAGCUCGGCGAAAGCCGGAUUAAUACCGCAUGUGGCUACUGGAGACAUCUUCGGGACGCUAAAGGUGGCGCAAGCUACCGCUUUUUGAGAAGCCCGCGGCCUAUCAGCUUGUUGGUGAGGUAACGGCUCACCAAGGCGUUGACGGGUAGCUGGUCUGAGAGGACGACCAGCCACACUGGGACUGAGACACGGCCCAGACACCUACGGGUGGCAGCAGUCGAGAAUUUUUGACAAUGGGGGAAACCCUGAUCGAGCGACGCCGCGUGGAGGAUGAAGGUCUUCGGGUUGUAAACUCCUGUCAUUUGGGAACAAGGCGUAUUUAUUAACUGUAAGUACGUUGAUAGUACCAGAAGAGGAAGAGACGGCUAACUCUGUGCCAGCAGCCGCGGUAAUACAGAGGUCUCAAGCGUUGUUCGGAUUCAUUGGGCGUAAAGGGUGUGUAGGUGGCGCGCUAAGUCGGGUGUGAAAUUUCGGAGCUUAACUCCGAAACUGCAUUCGAUACUGGCGUGCUUGAGGACUGGAGAGGAGACUGGAAUUUACGGUGUAGCAGUGAAAUGCGUAGAUAUCGUAAGGAAGACCAGUGGCGAAGGCGGGUCUCUGGACAGUUCCUGACACUGAGACACGAAGGCCAGGGGAGCAAACGGGAUUAGAUACCCNNGUAGUCC
This 810-nucleotide ribosomal RNA is filed under the name uncultured bacterium. Its description in RNAcentral is "bacterial SSU rRNA". It matches the Rfam family "Bacterial small subunit ribosomal RNA", at positions 8 to 796 of the family's 1533-position model. The record is from RNAcentral.